This 402-nucleotide ribosomal RNA is filed under the name uncultured bacterium. RNAcentral's name for it is "bacterial SSU rRNA". It matches the Rfam family "Bacterial small subunit ribosomal RNA", at positions 355 to 774 of the family's 1533-position model. The record is from RNAcentral.
UGGGGAAUAUUGGACAAUGGGCGCAAGCCUGAUCCAGCCAUGCCGCGUGAGUGUUGAAGGCCCUAGGGUUGUAAAGCUCUUUCAACGGUGAAGAUAAUGACGGUAACCGUAGAAGAAGCCCCGGCUAACUUCGUGCCAGCAGCCGCCGUAAUACGAAGGGGGCUAGCGUUGUUCGGAAUUCCUGGGCGUAAAGCGCACGUAGGCGGAUCGGUCAGUUAGGGGUGAAAUCCCAGGGCUCAACCCUGGAACUGCCUUUAAUACUGCCGAUCUGGAGUCCGGAAGAGGUGAGUGGAAUUCCGAGUGUAGAGGUGAAAUUCGUAGAUAUUCGGAGGAACACCGGUGGCGAAGGCGGCUCACUGGUCCGGUACUGACGCUGAGGUGCGAAAGCGUGGGGAGCAAACA